Molecule: ribosomal RNA, 481 nt
Filed under: uncultured bacterium
Lineage: Bacteria
Description: partial 16S ribosomal RNA
Rfam family: Bacterial small subunit ribosomal RNA
Source: RNAcentral
GACGAACGCUGGCGGCGUGCUUAACACAUGCAAGUCGAGCGAUGAAGUUUCUUCGGAAAUGGAUUAGCGGCGAACGGGUGAGGAACACGUGAAGAAUCUGCCCUCCACUUUGGGAUAACACAGGGAAACCUGUGCUAAUACCGAAUAUUGAAACAUAAGUGGCAUCACUGAGUUUUGAAAGAAUUUCGGUGGAGGAUGACUUCGCGGCCUAUCAGCUAGUUGGUGAGGUAAUGGCUCACCAAGGCAACGACGGGUAGCCGGCCUGAGAGGGCGACCGGCCACACUGGGACUGGGACACGGCCCAGACUCCUACGGGGGGCAGCAGUGGGGAAUAUUGGGCAAUGGAGGAAACUCUGACCCAGCGACGCCGCGUGCGGGAUGAAGGCCUUCGGGUUGUAAACCGCUUUCAGUAGGGAAGAAGCGAAAGUGACGGUACCUACAAAAGAAGCACCGGCUAACUAUGUGCCAGCCGCCGCCGUAA